RNAcentral lists this transfer RNA (72 nucleotides) under Mycoemilia scoparia. It matches the Rfam family "tRNA". From Rfam's summary of the family: Transfer RNA (tRNA) molecules are approximately 80 nucleotides in length. Lineage: Eukaryota; Fungi; Kickxellomycota; Kickxellomycetes; Kickxellales; Kickxellaceae. The record is from Rfam by way of RNAcentral.
UCUCCGUUAGUAUAGUGGCGAGUAUACCAGUCUGUCACAUUGGAGACCCGGGUUAAAUUCCCAGACAGAGAG